UCUUCCGUAGUAUAGUGGUCAGUAUGUGAGCUUGUCAUUCAAAGCCGACAUCGCUCGAGACCCGGGUUCAAUUCCCGGCGGGAGAG
This is a non-coding RNA of Collariella sp. IMI 366227, 86 nucleotides long. The record is from the annotation of a GenBank genome assembly. Lineage: Eukaryota; Fungi; Ascomycota; Sordariomycetes; Sordariales; Chaetomiaceae.